Molecule: transfer RNA, 73 nt
Filed under: bacterium TMED46
Lineage: Bacteria
Also listed under: 1 other name
Description: tRNA-Ala
Rfam family: tRNA
About the family: Transfer RNA (tRNA) molecules are approximately 80 nucleotides in length. Their secondary structure includes four short double-helical elements and three loops (D, anti-codon, and T loops). Further hydrogen bonds mediate the characteristic L-shaped molecular structure. tRNAs have two regions of fundamental functional importance: the anti-codon, which is responsible for specific mRNA codon recognition, and the 3' end, to which the tRNAs corresponding amino acid is attached (by aminoacyl-tRNA synthetases). tRNAs cope with the degeneracy of the genetic code in two manners: having more than one tRNA (with a specific anti-codon) for a particular amino acid; and 'wobble' base-pairing, i.e. permitting non-standard base-pairing at the 3rd anti-codon position.
Source: RNAcentral
GGGGCUGUAGCUCAGUUGGGAGAGCGCAUGACUGGCAGUCAUGAGGUCAGCGGUUCGAUCCCGCUCAGCUCCA